Molecule: non-coding RNA, 21 nt
Filed under: Arabidopsis thaliana (thale cress)
Lineage: Eukaryota; Viridiplantae; Streptophyta; Magnoliopsida; Brassicales; Brassicaceae
Source: RNAcentral
AGGGUGUUAACUGUAAUUACA